CUGAUGCAGCGACGCCGCGUGAGGGAGACGGCCUUCGGGUUGUAAACCUCUUUCAGUAGGGAAGAAGCGAAAGUGACGGUACCUGCAGAAGAAGCGCCGGCUAACUACGUGCCAGCAGCCGCGGUAAUACGUAGGGCGCAAGCGUUAUCCGGAAUUAUUGGGCGUAAAGAGCUCGUAGGCGGUUUGUCGCGUCUGCCGUGAAAGUCCGAGGCUCAACCUCGGAUCUGCGGUGGGUACGGGCAGACUAGAGUGAUGUAGGGGAGACUGGAAUUCCUGGUGUAGCGGUGAAAUGCGCAGAUAUCAGGAGGAACACCGAUGGCGAAGGCAGGUCUCUGGGCAUUAACUGACGCUGAGGAGCGAAAGCAUGGGGAGCGAACAGGAUUAGAUACCCUGGUAGUCCAUGCCGUAAACGUUGGGCACUAGGUGUGGGGGACAUUCCACGUUUUCCGCGCCGUAGCUAACGCAUUAAGUGCCCCGCCUGGGGAGUACGGCCGCAAGGCUAAAACUCAAAGGAAUUGACGGGGGCCCGCACAAGCGGCGGAGCAUGCGGAUUAAUUCGAUGCAACGCGAAGAACCUUACCAAGGCUUGACAUGUGCCAGACCGCCGUGGAAACACGGUUUCCCCUUUGGGGCUGGUUCACAGGUGGUGCAUGGGUUGUCGUCAGCUCGUGUCGUGAGAUGUUGGGUUAAGUCCCGCAACGAGCGCAACCCUCGUUUCCAUGUUGCCAGCGGAUAAUGCCGGGGACUCAUGGGAGACUGCCGGGGUCAACUCGGAGGAAGGUGGGGACGACGUCAAAUCAUCAUGCCCCUUAUGUCYUGGGCUUCACGCAUGCUACAAUGGCCGGUACAAUGGGUUGCGAUACUGUGAGGUGGAGCUAAUCCCAAAAAGCCGGUCUCAGUUCGGAUUGUUUCUGCAACUCGACCCCAUGAAGUCGGAGUCGCUAGUAAUCGCAGAU
Molecule: ribosomal RNA, 956 nt
Filed under: Arthrobacter sp. SH-96A
Lineage: Bacteria; Bacillati; Actinomycetota; Actinomycetes; Micrococcales; Micrococcaceae
Description: bacterial SSU rRNA
Rfam family: Bacterial small subunit ribosomal RNA
Source: RNAcentral